UACGGAGGGUGCGAGCGUUAAUCGGAAUUACUGGGCGUAAAGCGCGCGUAGGUGGUUCGAUAAGUCGGAUGUGAAAUCCCCGGGCUUAACCUGGGAAUUGCAUUUGAUACUGUCAAACUAGAGUGUGGUAGAGGUAAGCGGAAUUCCCGGUGUAGCGGUGAAAUGCGUAGAUAUCGGGAGGAACAUCAGUGGCGAAGGCGGCUUACUGGACCAACACUGACACUGAGGCGCGAAAGCGUGGGUAGCAAACAGG
RNAcentral lists this ribosomal RNA (253 nucleotides) under uncultured bacterium. RNAcentral describes it as "partial 16S ribosomal RNA". It matches the Rfam family "Bacterial small subunit ribosomal RNA", at positions 524 to 776 of the family's 1533-position model. The record is from RNAcentral.